Molecule: long non-coding RNA, 4337 nt
Organism: Hypanus sabinus (Atlantic stingray)
Lineage: Eukaryota; Metazoa; Chordata; Chondrichthyes; Myliobatiformes; Dasyatidae
Exons: 3
Source: RefSeq, a predicted model, not a curated record
ACGCGCCCUCGGACCCUGUCCACGCUCCCGUUUCACUAGCGGGUCCUUCCCGUCCCUUUCCGCGCCCCGGCCAUCCGUCCUGUCGUUCCCGAGGUCCUCCAUUACUGCUGACCCUCCGACCACUCUCCAUCCUCUCUGUCCCUCACUUCCCCUGCCGUUGGUUCCUCAUCCGUCAGCUUCAACCCUCACUCCCUCUGCUCCCCUGCCCAUCCGCUCCGCUCCUCACACAGCCCUCACCUGUCCCUCCACCUCACCCCUCUGCCUUCUCACUCCCUGUCCCGUCCAUCCUCUCUGUCCCUAUCUUCCCCUGCCUCCAGCCUCCUCUGCUCCCCUGCCCAUCCGCUCCGCUCCUCACACAGCCCUCACCUGUCCCUCCACCUCACCUCUCUGCCUUCUCACUCCCUGUCCCGUCCAUCCUCUCUGUCCCUAUCUUCCCCUCCCUCCAGCCUCCUCUGCUUCCCUGCCCAUCCGCUCCGUCUCUCCUCCUCCUGCCUCCUCUCCACUCUGCCCCAUCCACACUCCCCUCAGUUCCCCUAAUAGCGCCUUACACUCCCCUCCGCAGCCCGGCACCCUGCCCUCCAUCCGCCUCUGCUCCAUCGCCAUAUCCUAUCCCCCUUUCUCUAUUAUCUCCGUCGCUUUCUCUGUUCCAGUCUCCUGAGCGAGCCCUCGUCACCACAUGUGAUGUUGUUUGCGAAUAUUUUCUCACAAGAUCUUCGAGAACAUUUCCAAUUUCCCUUUCCAUUACCCUAUUCCUGCUGGUAAAUUUACCCCUCUGUCUCUCUCUAUGUCAAACACAGUGAGUACGUGAAGGAUUGAGGCUCCUUCAAGCAGAAGUUUGUUAAGAUUACACUCGUGUUUUGCAGUAUUUCUGCCAUUUGGAUGUGAUAUUUACAUCUUUGUCCUGAUAGGGUGACUUUGGUUAAUAAUUUCCUUUGUAAUCGGUGACUUUAGCGAUUAACGCGGAGUUUCUGAUCCCUGUUCCAACCGACGUGAUUGAAUCCGAAUCGGGUUUAUUUUCACUGAUUUGUGUAUUAUCACCUGAAAUGUGUUUUGUGGCAGCAGUACAGUGCGAUACGUUUUAAAAAGACAAAGUUGUCCGUUGUGUCCGACGAUGACAGGAGACCUGUGCAGGAGUUUUUUAAAUGGAAAAGCCUGACGCUGGGGCAGUUCAAGCGUCACAACUGAGGUCUUUCUUGUUUGCAGUGGAUGUCGGUGACUUACUGUGCUCCCCACCCAGUGUUGUAGAACUGCCUUCCUGGUCUUUGGGUCUCACCUGCCUGUCUGCUGGAGCCGACUUUGCAUGCUAGGGCCCACCUGGACUAGAUAUCUGAGGGGAAGAAACGAUUCCUAAAGUCGUGAAUGUGUGUCUUCAGGCUCCUUCUCCUCGAUGUAGAUGUGAUCUGCCCAGUCCAUCAGUGAAAAAUUUACUAAAAUCCCUCCACAGCUCUGUUCUUGAAAGUGAGUCCAGAAGUUGUGUUGAGUGAUCGGGUCAGUGUCGAGGUGAGUGAAGUUCUCCAUGUAACCCUGAAAUGAUGGUGGAACACAACCUGUGUUCAGCUCAGCGAAGCAAAGAAUGGUAAGUUUCAGCUGUUUGUUCACCACCACUUGAUCUAUUAGCUGAUUUUAUUGAACCACUACCAACUAGCAUGCUGUAAUCAUUAUUCUGACUUUCAGUGAAACUCACUUCUCUCAAAAACCUCCUCACCCACUCUGCACAGGAACCCUGGAAUCAGUCUAUUACAGUAAAAAAAAAUGCUUAAAGUAAAGCUCAUGGUUUGAUUAAAUAAUUAUGGGUUGGAUUUAUGAGGGAUAUUAUGCAAUCUUGCGAUGUCAAAUCCUUUCAAAGCACUUUACGAGUUAUCUCGAGAGGAUUUGAUUUUAUUGGUAAAUGUUGAUAAUUGCAGAGUUAUCCUUACUCUAUGAGAUUAAAAAGUUAUUGCCAACAUUCUUCAGAAUUCAUUGUGCUCUUUCAGAUUCAGAUUUAUAUAUCCAAAGCAAUACACACAACAUGCUGGAGGAACUCAGCAGAUCAGGCAGCAUACAUGGAAAUGAAUAAACAGUUGAUGUUUCGGGCCAAGACCCUUCUUCAGGACUGGAAAGAAAGGGGGAAGAUGCCAGAGUAAAAAAAUGGAAGCAGGGGGUGACAGAGUAGUUGGAAGGUGAUGGGUGAAGGCAGGUGGUUGGAAAAGGUAAAGAGCUGGAGAAGAAGGAAUUUGAUAGGAGAGGAGAGUGGGCCAGGGGAGAAAGGGAAGGAAGAGGGACAUCGGGGGCAGUGAUAGGCAAGUGAGAAGAGGUAAGAGAAUAGAGUGGAGUGGAGAAUAGCAGAGGGGAAGAGGAAGAAAACAUUUUUUUAAACCAGAAGGAGUAAUCUAUAUUAAUGCUGUCAGGUUGGAGGCUACGCAGAUGGAAUAUAAGAUGUGACCUCAUCAUGCAACAAGAGGAGACCAUGGACUAACAUGUCGGAAUGGGAAUGGACACUUAAAAUAUCGGGCCACUGGGAAAUUCCUUUUUUUUUUUUGGUGGAUGGAGUGGAGGUGCUCAACAAAGUGGUCCUCCAAUGUAUUAAUCACCUGUCCAUCAGAACGUAGAGUGAAAUGUAUCAUUUGCAUGAACAACCUGAGGGUGGGCUGGGGGCAGCCCGCAAGUGUUGCCGCACAUCGGGAUGGCUUCGUUACCGCCGCGUGUUGUGAAAUCAGUUGUUUUGUGGCUGCAGUACAUUGCAAUACAUGAUAGAUCUGUAAUGGUGUGGGGUGGGAUAUAAACCAUUGGGGUGGAGAAUUGGCAGAUGGACUGUAAUCCUGGUAAGUGUGAGGUGGUGCACUUGGGUUGGUCAAAUGUAAGGAGAGGGUAAACCCGUAAUAACAGGAGAUGUUCAGAGUGAUCUUGAGAAGCAGGUUCAUAGCGGCCUGAAAGUGGUUACACAGGGUGAUAGGGUGGUUAAGAGGGCAGAGAGCUGAGUUCAAGAGUCAGGAAGUUAUAUUGCAGCUUUAUAAAGCUCUAGUUAGGCCACAUCUGGAGUAUUGCAUACAGUUUCACUUUCAAAUCUCUUACUGUCUUUCCUUUUGGUUAGUCCUGAUGAAGGGUCUCGGCCCGAAACGUCGACAGCGCUUCUCCCUAUAGAUGCUGCCUGGCCUGCUGUGUUCCACCAGCAUUUUGUGUGUGUUGUUGUUUAUUGCAUACAGUUCUGGUCGCCCCGUUAUAGCGAGGAUGUCAAGAUUCUGGAGGAGUUGGAAGAGGUUCACCAGGAUGCUGCCUGGCUUAGAGAGUAUGUCCUAUAACGAGAGUUCUGACAAACUUGGGUUGUUUUCUCUGGAGUGGCAGAGGCCGAGGGGAGUUCUGAUAGAGGUUUAGACUGAGAGGCAUAGAUGGAGUAGACAGACAGUAUCAUUUUGCCUGGGUUGAAGUGUCCAAUACCAGAGGGUGUGUACUUUGGUUGAGUUCAGGGUGCUUGUGGAGCAAGUUUUAUUGGGCAGGGUGAGGUGGAUGCCUGGAGUGCUCUGCCAGGGGAGGCGGUGAGGGCAAAUACAGUAGGUUGUGUGGUACAAGAAGCUGUCAGGUAGGCACAUUUGGGUGAUAUGGACAUGGCGUCAGCAGGCGAUUUGCUUCAUUGAGCAUUUAAUCACCAUCUCGGCAUACCAUCGUGGCUGGAGGACUCGCUCCUGUGCAGCUCUGUCCUGCAUUCUCAGUUAUUACUUGAGGAGAGAAAGAUAUUCAUCUUCAACCACCUUGUUUGUGCUCCUUCCCCUCCCCCCACCUUCUGAAUCUGGCUUCUUCCCUCUUGCUUUCCAGUCCUGACGAAGGGUCCCGGCCCUAAACAUCGACUGUUUAUUCCUCUCCAUAGAUGCUGCCUGGCCAGCUGAGUUCCUCCAGCAUUGUGCGUGUGUUGUUCUGAGCUUCCAGCAUCUGCAGAAUCUUUUGUGUGUAAAUUAGAUGUUACUGUGGCCUUUUCCUUCUGUCUUCUGUCCCAGCAGAGGAUCUCAAGAAAUUGGAAUCAGUUUAUUCUCGUCACUGAGAUCCAGUGAAAAGCUUGUCUCACACACUGUUCAUACAGAUCAGAUCAUUACCCAGUGCACUGAAGUAGAACAAGGGAAAACACUAACAGUGCAGGAUAAAGUGUAACGGCUACAGAGAAAGUGCAGUGCAGAUAAACUUUAAAGAGCGAGAUCACAACGAGGAGUAUUUUGAGGUCAAGAGGACAUUUUAUCGUACAACAGGUCACUGUUCAAGAGUCUGAUAACAGUGAGGUAGAACCUGGUGGGACAUACUUUCAGGAUUUUGUAUCUUCUGCCUGGAGGAGGGAAAAGAGAGACUGUCCGGGGGUAGGUGGAGUCCUUGAU